GAUGAACGCUGGCGGCGUGCCUAAUACAUGCAAGUCGAGCGAACGGACGAGAAGCUUGCUUCUCUGAUGUUAGCGGCGGACGGGUGAGUAACACGUGGAUAACCUACCUAUAAGACUGGGAUAACUUCGGGAAACCGGAGCUAAUACCGGAUGAUAUUUUGAACCGCAUGGUUCAAAAGUGAAAGACGGUCUUGCUGUCACUUAUAGAUGGAUCCGCGCUGCAUUAGCUAGUUGGUAAGGUAACGGCUUACCAAGGCAACGAUGCAUAGCCGACCUGAGAGGGUGAUCGGCCACACUGGAACUGAGACACGGUCCAGACUCCUACGGGAGGCAGCAGUAGGGAAUCUUCCGCAAUGGGCGAAAGCCUGACGGAGCAACGCCGCGUGAGUGAUGAAGGUCUUCGGAUCGUAAAACUCUGUUAUUAGGGAAGUACAUAUGUGUAAGUAACUGUGCACAUCUUGACGGUACCUAAUCAGAAAGCCACGGCUAACUACGUG
Molecule: ribosomal RNA, 497 nt
Filed under: uncultured bacterium
Lineage: Bacteria
Description: partial 16S ribosomal RNA
Rfam family: Bacterial small subunit ribosomal RNA
Source: RNAcentral